AAGAUUUUAAGUUAAAUACAUAAACUAUUAACCUUCAAAGUUAAAUAUAAUAAUAAUUAUUAAAUCUUA
RNAcentral lists this transfer RNA (69 nucleotides) under Calameuta idolon. Its description in RNAcentral is "tRNA-Trp". The record is from RNAcentral. Lineage: Eukaryota; Metazoa; Arthropoda; Insecta; Hymenoptera; Cephidae.